Molecule: ribosomal RNA, 562 nt
Filed under: uncultured Synechocystis sp.
Lineage: Bacteria; Bacillati; Cyanobacteriota; Cyanophyceae; Synechococcales; Merismopediaceae
Description: bacterial SSU rRNA
Rfam family: Bacterial small subunit ribosomal RNA
Source: RNAcentral
ACGGGAGGCAGCAGUGGGGAAUUUUCCGCAAUGGGCGCAAGCCUGACGGAGCAAUACCGCGUGAGGGAGGAAGGUCCUUGGAUUGUAAACCUCUUUUAUCAGGGAAGAAAAAAAUGACGGUACCUGAUGAAUAAGCAUCGGCUAACUCCGUGCCAGCAGCCGCGGUAAUACGGAGGAUGCGAGCGUUAUCCGGAAUUAUUGGGCGUAAAGCGUCCGUAGGAGGUCAUGCAAGUCUGCCGUUAAAGAAUGGGGCUUAACUCCAUAGGAGCGGUGGAAACUGCAAGACUAGAGUACAGUAGGGGUAGCAGGAAUUCCCAGUGUAGCGGUGAAAUGCGUAGAUAUUGGGAAGAACAUCGGUGGCGAAAGCGUGCUACUGGGCUGAAACUGACACUGAGGGACGAAAGCUAGGGUAGCGAAAGGGAUUAGAUACCCCUGUAGUCCUAGCCGUAAACGAUGGAUACUAGGCGUGGCUUGUAUCGACCCGAGCCGUGCCGAAGCUAACGCGUUAAGUAUCCCGCCUGGGGAGUACGCACGCAAGUGUGAAACUUAAAGGAAUUGACGG